This 273-nucleotide ribosomal RNA is filed under the name uncultured bacterium. RNAcentral's name for it is "partial small subunit ribosomal RNA". It matches the Rfam family "Bacterial small subunit ribosomal RNA", at positions 26 to 282 of the family's 1533-position model. The record is from RNAcentral.
AGAAUCAACGCUGGCGGCGUGCCUCAGACAUGCAAGUCGAACGCGAAAGUCCCCUUCGGGGGGCGAGUAGAGUGGCGCACGGGUGAGUAACACGUAGGUAAUUUGCCUUCGGGUGGGGAAUAACUCAGGGAAACUUGAGCUAAUACCGCAUAAUGCAGCGGCUCGACAUCGAGACAGUUGUUAAAGCGGGGGAUCGCAAGACCUCGCGCCUGAAGAGAAGCCUGCGGCAGAUUAGCUAGUUGGUAGGGUAAUGGCCUACCAAGGCGACGAUCU